ACAAACUUGGUCAUUUAGAGGAAGUAAAAGUCGUAACAAGGUCUCCGUAGGUGAACCUGCGGAGGGAUCAUUACCGAGCUCGUGCCAUAGGCCGACCUCCUGCCCGCUGUUAUCAUUACGCUGUUGCUUUGGCGGGCCGUGCCCGCCAGAGGCUCCGCAGACCCUAAGCGUCGGUGCCGUCUGAGUACUAUAUAAUAGUUAAAACUUUCAACAACGGAUCUCUUGGUUCUGGCAUCGAUGAAGAACGCAGC
RNAcentral lists this unclassified non-coding RNA (251 nucleotides) under uncultured fungus. RNAcentral's name for it is "partial contains small subunit ribosomal RNA, internal transcribed spacer 1, and 5.8S ribosomal RNA". The stretch from base 1 to 73 matches the Rfam family "Eukaryotic small subunit ribosomal RNA", at positions 1759 to 1831 of the family's 1831-position model. Lineage: Eukaryota; Fungi. The record is from RNAcentral.